Molecule: ribosomal RNA, 385 nt
Filed under: uncultured bacterium
Lineage: Bacteria
Description: bacterial SSU rRNA
Rfam family: Bacterial small subunit ribosomal RNA
Source: RNAcentral
AAUGGGCGCAAGCCUGAUCCAGCCAUGCCGCGUGAGUGAUGAAGGCCUUAGGGUUGUAAAGCUCUUUUGCCGGGGACGAUAAUGACGGUACCCGGAGAAUAAGUCCCGGCUAACUUCGUGCCAGCAGCCGCGGUAAUACGAAGGGGACUAGCGUUGUUCGGAAUCACUGGGCGUAAAGCGCACGUAGGCGGAUAUGUCAGUCAGGGGUGAAAUCCCGGGGCUCAGCCUCGGAACUGCCCUUGAUACAGCAUGUCUUGAGUCCGAUAGAGGUGGGUGGAAUUCCUAGUGUAGAGGUGAAAUUCGUAGAUAUUAGGAAGAACACCAGUGGCGAAGGCGGCCCACUGGAUCGGUACUGACGCUGAGGUGCGAAAGCGUGGGGAGCAAA